UAACAGGUAUCCAGUGCCAUCUAAUUAUCGAUAAUUCAUAUGCGUUUCUGCAGAAGUUCUAGGGCGGGCUCUAGUAAUUACAAGGAACGGAACUUGUUUCCGCUUUAAAUACACAGCCACGUGACAAUGAAUAAUAUAUAGCUAAAGUGAAAAAUAAUGAGAAGCUGAAUUGUCCCAAGUGUAUUAAUAAUUUUCAAGUAUCGACAGAAUGCUCCGCACAGUCUUUUGGACAACAAGCAGUGUGUGUCUCAAUAGCAAUGUAAAACAGACAACAAUUUCCACACAUUGUAAAAAGCGAUCCCGGAUUAAUGGACUUUCAAAACACGAAUCUCUUUAACGUUCGGCUAAACUUGCUUUCGGGCAAUCUGUUACCAAUGACCGACAAGUCAGACAAAUCCUCAUUUUCACUAUUCUGGAAAGUAUAUUGUGCUUUCGUGUGGUUACUGGAAUUAGUUUAUAUGAUCUCAUUAAUUCUUGCCUACUUCUUAGCACCGAACGAGGCAACAUUAAGCGAUAGCUUUGAUGGAUUAUUCGUUAUAGAAGAAGUUGGUUUUGUAAUCGAUUACUCACGAAUUCUUACACAGAAAACACUGGUACAAAAACUAAUACGAAACCUGAACAAGGCUCUAAGUAUUAAAGAUGAGAAUAUGCGACGUAUCGUAACAACGAAUCUAAAAUCAAUUAAAAAUCCAUUCAUAUAUUACUUAGUGACUGGUACAGGUUCUCUUAUCUUCUGGUGUUGUACGACGCUCCCGUUAAUUCUUGAAAGAAACACUUUUUACCACGCAGAUUACAAUACACCAGCUGUUUUUUACAAAGAACCAUUUUCUCUCGGCGUUUUCUUGCUAGGCAAUAUGAUGAUAAUGGUGUGCAACAUAUACCUUUUUUUAAAGGUAAUCAGCGUGGAUGUAUACACAGCACAUUUGAUAUCAUUAAUAACGGCGCAAUAUCAAUAUAUUUCUUCAAGACUUGUAUUGAUAUUUCAAAAUAAUAAACAUCCGAAUAACAGAAGUUCUCGAGAAGGUAAUUCUGAAGUGGAUUCUUUUACAGCGACAGAAAUAAAAAAUUUAUGUCGUCAACAUGUCAAUGUUAUGCAGUAAGUAUAUUUUUUAGCACUAUUUACUGAGAUUGCAAAAAAUUUUGAUUUGUUGUAUAUUAUAGUACAAUAUAAAAUUUUAUUCAGCCAAGUAUUCGAGAUAAUAAAGCACCUCAGCAAAAUUUUAAUAAAAUUGAGCAGAUCUAUGAUUGCUUAUCAUUCACAAUGGCAAGUUGCCGACAUUAUAAGCAACCACAGAUUUACGCGAUUUUGAAACACACUUUGUUAUUUGAGAUGAUAUUCUAUAAUAUAAUAUGUAUUAAAAUGUUAAUUAAGUUUUGUAUAAUAUUAUGGAUGUAGAUACAAUCUAUUUCAGCAUAACGUUAAUGUUGAAGAAAUUGAUAUCUGUAAAUAUCUUUCUUAUAUAUUUAAUUAACGUUUUCCGAUUUUGUUUUAUUGGUCUCAUUGCAACUACAGUGAGUAACAAUUUAUAAAAUUUGCGCAAUUAUUUUAUAUAAGUAGCACAUAGUUCUAUUAAAUUACUUUAAAUUAUUGUUAUAAUACAGCAGCAAUAUUUGUUUAUGAAAUCUAGAUGUCAGAGUCUUACUUAAAAAUAUGUUUUGUGUUUUUGUACGCAUCUGGUUCAGCAACACAAUUCUACGUAUUGUGUGCUUGUUUCCAGAGAUUAUCGGAAUCAGUAAGAUUUGUCAUAUGUCAUUACUGUUAGAAGUAAAAGUUUAUUAAUUACUUGUCGAAAGUAUCUUUUUCUAAUAACCGUACUUAAAUAUUUGUACAUAAAUAAAACAGCUGUUUAUUUUUCUAAGAGUUCAGAAAUAACAAAUGAAGCAUUUCACGAAAAUUGGAAUCAAUUGAAUUUGUCCGUAAAACGUACAUUUUUAUUGAUGAUGAUGGCUAGUAAUAAUAUAGAGAUUAAACUUUCAUUAUUCGAUAGAUUCAACUUGUCUUUACCUUCAUUCAUGUCGGUUCUAAACCAGGCAUAUUCUGUCGCUCUUCUGAUAUUAAGAAUGAGUUAAAGAACAACGAAUGUAUAUAUUUCAUUAUUAACAUAUGGUAAAGUAACUUUAAUGUUAUCAAUACAAAAAACUCUUUCAUUUUUAGAAUGAUAAAUUGUAUAAAGAUUCACAAAAAAAAUUAAAACAAAGAAAAAGGGACCUAAGUCAGGGUAGAAAUUGAUGUGUAACUAUUUAAUUAAAUAUCAAAGUAUAAUUAGUAUAUAAGUAGUCAAUAUAUAAUUAAAAAUUUCAACAAUAUGACCAUACCUAUUUCUUCUUGUUUCGACUUACUUUUAAGUCAUUCUGAACAGUAUCGCAUAUUAUGAGCUUGUUUUUUUCUGUUUUAUUAAAAUAUUUCAAUAUGUAUAGAAAUGUUCAGAACCGAGUUAUAGAGUUAUUUAACACCAGGAAUAAAAAUGAACAAUCAAGCUGUCUCUGAAAAUGUUUCAAGAAAAAUAUUUUUAAAUGUCUUUUUUAAAAAAAUUUGGUAAAUAAAAAUAUUAAGAUGAAAGACCAUAGUUUCUUGCUCAAAGACGCAUCAGAAACAGUCCUGCUUCUUUCCAACUGUGAUUUAUGUAAUACUUUAUUAAUGCUUUAAACUAUUCUAAAAUAUUUUUUAUUAAUAAUUUUCAAAUAAUAUUUUAUAUUUUAAAUUAAUCACAGUUAAUUACGUUUUUGUUAUUACAAAUUAAUUAACAGCAGUAACAUAUGUUACUGUUGAUUUCAUAAAUAGUGAAGUUUUUAUUAAUACAAAUAAAAUGUAAAAUUUAAUACAGCUUUUAACACAAGCUUACUGGGAUAAAUUUUAUUUUCUUAGAGUGGCUUUUGCUUCACUAAAAAUAAUAUCGCAAUUUAUAACGUAUUUACAAUGUAUAUCCUUAUAUCCUAUAUCUUAAAACAGAACAUAUUAUGACAUAACAACAAAUAUCGAUCAAUUUAAAAUAACAACUUACAUUAAGGAUCGGCUGAUGAAGAUAGAAUUAUCUUGCAUAGACUGGCAUAUCGAAGUACUUUAUGCGGGUCAAGCAACAUCACAUUGUGCGCGCGUUUUAGAUUUUGUGGUAUUGUGAGCAGGUGCAAACAUUCUUGCUAGACAAUAUAAAAUAAGAUAAUUGUUGCUUUAUAGCGCAUUGAUGAUUAAAAGUAAGCACAUAAUCGCAUUCGUACAGUGAAGAUAGAGAAAAAGAUAUUUUUUCAUUCUAAUUCUUCUAUAAAUCGCCAUUCAUUACAGUGACAUUUCUUUGUAAAUUCUUUUACAUUAGCUAUAUGGGAAAGACAACUUUUUUCUAAUUUAACAGCUACCCAACGCCAUGUAAUUAUCAAUAAUUUAUAUGCGUUUCCACAGAAGUUGUAGGACAAGCUCUAGUAAUUACCAGGAACGAAACUUUUCGCUUUAAAUACACUGCCACGUGACAAUGAAUAAUAUAUCGAUAAAAGUAAGAACUAAUGAGAGGCUAAAUUGUCCCAAGUAUAUUAAUAAUUUUCAAGUAUCGACAGAAAUGCUCCGCGCAGUCUUUUGGACUACAAGCAGUAUGUUCCUCAACAGCAAUGUAAAACAAAGAACAAUUUCCACACAUUGUAAAGAGCGAUACCGGAUUAAUGGACUUUCAAAACACGAAUCUCUUUAACGUUCGGCUAAACUUGCUUUCGGGCAAUUUGUUACCAAUGACCGACAAGUCAGACAAAUUCUCAUUUUCACUAUUCUGGAAAGUAUAUUGUGCUUUCGUGUGGUUACUGGAAUUAGUUUAUAUGAUCUCAUUAAUUCUUGCCUACUUCUUAGUACCGAACAAGAUAGCAUUAAGCGAUGGCUUUGAUGGAUUAUUCGUUAUAGAAGAAGUUGGUUUUGUUAUCGAUUAUUCACGAAUUCUUAUACAGAAAACACUGGUACAACAAUUGAUACGAAAACUGAACGAGGCUCUAAGUAUUGAGGAUGAGAACAUGCAACGUAUCGUAACAACAAAUCUAAAGCAGAUUAAAAAUCCAUUCAUAUAUUACUUAGUGACUGGCACAGGUUCUGUUAUCUUUUGGUGUUGUACGACGCUCCCAUUAAUUCUUGAAAGAAACACUUUCUACCACGCAGAUUACAAUGCACCAGCUGUUUUUUCCAAAGAACCAUUUUCUCUCGGCGUUUUCCUGCUAGGCAAUAUGAUGAUAAUGGUGUGCAACACAUACCUUUUUUUAAAGGUAAUCAGCGUGGAUGUAUAUACAGCACAUUUAAUAUCAUUAAUAACGGCGCAAUAUCAAUAUAUUUCUUCAAGACUUGUAUUGAUAUUUCGAAAUAAUAAACAUCCGAAUAACAGAAGUUCUCGAGAAGGUAAUUCUGAAGUGGAUUCUUUCACAACGAAAGAAAUAAAAAAUUUAUGUCGCCAACAUGUCAAUGUUAUGCAGUAAGUAUAUUUUUUAGCACUAUUUACUAAGAUUGCAAAAAUUUUGAUUUGUCGUAUAUAAUACAAUAAUAUAAAAUUUUAUUUAUCUAAGUAUCCCAGAUAAUAAAGCGUCUCAGCAAAAUUUUUAAUAAAAUUAAGCAGAUCUAUAAUUGCUUAUUAAUCACAAUUAUACGGCAAGUUGCUAGUAUUAUAAGCAACCAUAAAUUUACGCGAUUUUGAAACAUGCUUUGUUAUUUGAGAUGGUGUUUUAUAAUAUCAUAUGUAUUAAUACAUUAAUUAAAUUUUGUAUGAUAGUAUGGACAUAAAGAUAAAAUUUGUUUCAGCAUAACGUUAAUGUUGAAGAAGUUGAUAUCUGUAAAUAUUUUUUUAAUAUAUUUAAUUAAUGUUUUCCGAUUUUGUUUUAUUGGUCUCAUGGUGAAUAAAGUAAGUAAUAGUUAAUGAAAUUUGUGCUAUUAUUCAAUAUAAAUAGCAAAUAGUGCUAUUAAAUUGGUUUAAAUUAUAGUUAUAAUAUAGCAGCAAUAUUUGUUUAUGAAAUCUAGAUAUCAGAGUCUUACUUAGUAGGAUGCUUUGUGAUUUUGUACGCAUCUGGUUCAGUAACACAAUUCUACGUAUUGUGUGCAUGUUUCCAGAGAUUAUCGGAAGCAGUAAGAUUUGUCAUAUGUUAUUAAUGUUAGAAGUAAAAGUUUAUUAAUUACUUGUCGAGAGAAUCUUUAUCUAAUAACUGUAUUUGAAUAUUUGUACAUAAAUAAAACAGCUGUUUAUUUUUCUAAGAGUUCAGAAAUAACGAAUGAAGCAUUCCACGAAGAUUGGAAUCAAUUCAGUUCAUCUAUAAAACGUACAUUUUUAUUGAUAACAUUGGCUAGUAAUAAUAUAAAGGUUAAACUUUCAUUAUUCGAAAGAUUCAACUUGUCUUUACCUUCAUUCAUGUCGGUAAGAUAUAUGUUUUAUAUAGUCAAUACUUUUAGUAUUCAGUAUUUUAAGAAUAAAAGGUAUAUUUUUAUAUAAUUUUUAAUUUUUUUUAGAUUUUAAAUAAAGCAUAUUCUAUUGCCGUUCUGAUAUUAGAACUUAGUUGAAGAAUGAUGAAUGCAUAUAUUUUGUUGGUAAAAUAUGGUAAUGUAAUUGUACUGUUAUUAUUACGGAAAACUAUAAGCUUUUAUUCAAAUUUAUUAAUUUUAUUCUUUUAUAAAAAAUAUAGUAAAAAAAUAGUUGUUAAUAAUUAAUUAAUAUAUUAUAUAUCACUUUUUAAAAAAAGUAAUGUAAUUACGACCUUAAUGUAUAUUUAGGUAUCAAUUUUAUAAUUUAAAGAAGUCAUCUUUAAUUUGCACGUUAAUUAUUGCAUGAAUUUCUUAUUGCUAAUUAUUUUUGUACUAUUUAAAAAACUAUUAAUAACUAAGAUGGAGUAUAAGUAAAAUAACGGAGAUGUAUGUUCUUACCAUAUAAUAUAGAAUAAAUUAAAAAAUUGAUAUAUUUGUAUA
This is an RNA transcript of Solenopsis invicta (red fire ant), 5911 nucleotides long. RefSeq lists it as uncharacterized. The record is from RefSeq and is a predicted model, not a curated record. Lineage: Eukaryota; Metazoa; Arthropoda; Insecta; Hymenoptera; Formicidae. The transcript is spliced from 4 exons.